GAGUCAGCAUACCCAGUCUGAUUUAUCCACUAUCCCGUGAUGAAGAUCUUGGCUGUCACUUUUAUGGAUAAGGAGCAAAGUGACUCAUCCUGAUUUUUACCUCAGAAUGAAGACACCACGGUUGAUUUUUAAUCCUAUCUAGUGGUGAAGACUGUGGCUCUGCGGGGAAGAAGCAUUAAAUUCGGAGUCUGCAUUUUCACUAAGCGAACAUACCACCGAUGAAGUAAUCAUUCUCUAAUGCUAAAGAUCUUGGCUUUAUCAAGCUGUGGGGGGUAAGGACAGAAGAAAUUGAUAAUGAACACACAGCUGAUUUAAUCGUUCUAUGAUCGUGAAGACAUGGUUGUGAAUCCUGGGACUGAGAAACAUAAAGACCGAGGUAAGUAAAUAUCAGUGUUUGCGUUUAAGGCUUAGAUGGGGUUUAUUUAUGGGAGCCCAGUAAAUUAUUUCAAUAAAAUAAAGAGUUAAACAGUGUAGGAAAUUCAGGCAUGCCAGUCAUGAGCCCCAAGUCUAGAAUGUGUCACAAACUAAAACUUAUGAUUACUUUGAUUCAUCCCAACUAAGAGCCGUUGCUGAAGUGAUGGGGGGCAUCUCACAUAUUCUCAAAGCCGUCUGCCUUCUCAACUCAUGCUCUUGUCCCAUUUGCCUAAAACAUACCUUCACUGGGGAAGAUCUUAGCUGUUAACUCUCUGAGGCUGGAGCACCCCGAAAGAUGGCAGAUGUCAGUUUUGUCAGUUGUGGGUUAAGAUGACAGGUCUGUGGGUGUUGAUGACACUAGCUUUACUGUAUGGGCAAGUCAAGGCAGAAAGGAGAAGGUGGUCACCAGUCCCUAAGUAAGGGACUGAUAUGAAGGGAGCGUCCUGAUUAAUCCCUGUGUGCGAACAGAGGUUCACUAUGAAAAGUGAGUGACCGUUCGCUUUCCAUGAAUGGGGGCGGUGAGCGGAUCUCGGUUGUAUGUAAGGCUUUUUGUUCUCAGUUUUGUGUCAUUAAAGGGUAUUGAGUGUGUAAUUCGGAUUCAUGAAUCUAUGAAUGAAUCCUUGCAAGAAGGCAUAAAUGAACGAAGAACUCGAAAGCUGUGCCCAGAUCAAUGAUGAGUAUCGGUGGAGUUACCUGAAUCAACACCUUUGAUGAAGUCCUCUGUGUAGCUUUGAGGUCCGUUACAGGAAACGAACCAGUCAAUCUUCUCUGUAGAAAUUAGCUAAUAGUGGAAGUUAGGAAAAUUCAAUAAGCUUGCCCCAGGCUUUUGUGGUUCAUGGAUACGGAUUAUGUUAUUUCAAGUGAAUCAAUGCAUGAGUAAAGAAAGAAAUGAAUACAUGAGACGCUAAAAGCCUCCUCAUAGAACAAUUAGCAGAGUGCAGCAAACGCUGUUAAUAUCGAUACAAUUCUGAAGGAAAACGGCAAGGCUCACUCUGUAAUCCUCUUUUAUAUGGAACAUACUAGUAUCUGCAGUGAAGACCCAGUGUCUUGAGUGUCUGUAGUUUGCUGGGGAGUUUUUAAGCUAAGAGAAGGGGAAGUGUUUGCAUCAGUCAGUAAUCUAUGAGAUAACCGUCUCUUUAAUAGGCGUUGAUACAGGUGGAGAUUUGUAAUCGUUAUAGUCUUAAUCUUGGGCUAGGUGUUGGACUUGAUCGUGUUUAUUGUAUUAUUUAUAAGUAAGAAUUCCAUACGGGUUUAAUAAAGAAUAGGAUGCUGGGGCCAAAGUUUAUUGCUAUCUAGCUCUGCCUGAUGAACAGCCAUUAAACACUUUUUUUGAAUGUAGCCUUAGUCUGCUUUUUCUUACCCAGAGUGAACAAUGGCAUAGCUGACUCAGUCAUUUAGUAAGGAGUUAUUGUAGUGAACCAGGAGCAUGAAGAAUAAUUUAAGUAAGUCCCUUAGUUUACAUUCUUUGUUUGGAUGGGUUGUUUCCAGAUGUCACCUGAAGAGUUUCGAAGCAAAUAAUUGUGCACCACACACACACGAAUAAAUAAAACACUCCCAAGUAUGGAUCAAUGAUGGGAAUGUAUUAUAGACCCAAAAUUAUGUGUAAUCUAAAUCAGCACCGCAGAGGUAAUUUUAGAAGAAAAUAUAAUGUUAUUUAAUUUGUUUUCAGAGCAGUUUCAUAUUAUUUCUUUCUUUACGUUUAUUAGCUCUGCAGGAGAAAAGCCUAAAAUUCAAGGAUCUUGUUUUUGGGAUUUUGUGAUUGUGUUAUUAUU
Prionailurus viverrinus (fishing cat) is the source of this 2186-nucleotide long non-coding RNA. RefSeq lists it as uncharacterized. NCBI's taxonomy places the organism in Eukaryota, Metazoa, Chordata, Mammalia, Carnivora, Felidae. The transcript is spliced from 4 exons. The record is from RefSeq and is a predicted model, not a curated record.